GACGAACGCUGGCGGCGUGCUUAACACAUGCAAGUCGAACGGAAAGGCCCUUCGGGGUAAUCGAGUGGAUAAGGGGUGAGUAAGAGGUUGGUGAUCUGCCCUGCACCUUGUGAUCAGCGUGGGAAACUGGGUCUAAUACCGUAUAGGACCACGCGCUCCUUAGUGAGUGGUGGAAAGCUUUUGCGGUGCGGGUUGGGCCCGCGGCCUAUCAGCUUGUUGGUGGGGUAAUGGCGUACCAAGGCGACGACGGGUAGCCGACCUGAGAGGGUGACCGGCCACACUGGGACUGAGAUACGGCCCAGACGGCAACGGGGGGCAGCAGUGGGAAAUAUUGCACAAUGGGCGGAAGCCUGAUGCAGCGACGCCGCGUGGGAGAUGACGGCCUUCGGGUUGUAAACCUCUUUCACCAGGGACGCAGCGUAGGUGACGGUACCUGGAGAAGAAGCAACGGCCAACUACGUG
RNAcentral lists this ribosomal RNA (462 nucleotides) under uncultured bacterium. RNAcentral's name for it is "partial 16S ribosomal RNA". It matches the Rfam family "Bacterial small subunit ribosomal RNA", at positions 28 to 507 of the family's 1533-position model. The record is from RNAcentral.